GACGAACGCUGGCGGCGUGCUUAACACAUGCAAGUCGAACGAAGAGCGAUGGAAGCUUGCUUCUAUCAAUCUUAGUGGCGAACGGGUGAGUAACGCGUAAUCAACCUGCCCUUCAGAGGGGGACAACAGUUGGAAACGACUGCUAAUACCGCAUACGAUCCAAUCUCGGCAUCGGGACUGGAUGAAAGGUGGCCUCUAUUUAUAAGCUAUCACUGAAGGAGGGGAUUGCGUCUGAUUAGCUAGUUGGAGGGGUAACGGCCCACCAAGGCGAUGAUCAGUAGCCGGUCUGAGAGGAGGAACGGCCACAUUGGGACUGAGACACGGCCCAGACUCCUACGGGAGGCAGCAGUGGGGAAUCUUCCGCAAUGGACGAAAGUCUGACGGAGCAACGCCGCGUGAGUGAUGACGGCCGUCGGGUUGUAAAGCUCUGUUAAUCGGGACGAAUGGUUCUUGUGCGAAUAGUGCGAGGAUUUGACGGUACCGGAAUAGAAAGCCACGGCUAACUACGUG
This 510-nucleotide ribosomal RNA is filed under the name uncultured bacterium. RNAcentral's name for it is "partial 16S ribosomal RNA". It matches the Rfam family "Bacterial small subunit ribosomal RNA", at positions 28 to 507 of the family's 1533-position model. The record is from RNAcentral.